UAAAAGCAAAUCAUGCGUAGAAAUGUCAAACUGUGUUUAAUAAUGUUUUAAUAUUUAGAGCAUGCUAGAUGUUUAAUAACUGAAGAAAGUAGCAGGAUUGUGUCAUAAAGGAAGCAAAAUGUAAACUUACAAAAGACUUAUUCACUAUAGUUAUACCAAUUGUCAACAGUGUAGCAAAAGAUAUUCAUGUCUUUUAAAGUUAUAAAUGAAAUAUUGAAAAACGUUGUUAAUUUUAAUGCGUAUUUUUAUUUUACGUAUUUUCACUGUUAGAAUUUAUUUUUCACUGCAGUGAAACAUAUUUUCCGGUUUUUUUUAUUGGUAAUUUGUCGAAUACUUUCUUCUCAAUUCAGACAAUACACAAAAAUCAAAGGAGAAUUCUUAAGAAUUGUAAGGUUAUAUAGGAGAAAAAGUACGUACUAAACAGAAAAUUCAAGUUCUUUUCUAUACAUACAGGAUUUAUUUUCAUCUUGUGAUAUGAAAAUUAUCAUAUUUCAUUUGUGGCUACCGCCACACGUGAACUAUUUAUUUUCAUACCACUCAAUGAAAAUAAAUACUGUAUUUAUAGGAAAAAACUUGAAUUCUAUGCUGUAUGUUUCAUGACAAAUGAGUAUAUUAAAGGAACUAUAACAUAUGAUACUAAAAAUAAAAAGUGUUUGAAAAAUAAUAUUGAUAGCAUUUGAAAGGUAUAAUGGGCCUUAAAUCUUUUAAAUAGACUUGUCUAUCUUCCAAUUUGAACAAAACCAUUUUUAAUUUUGAGGGACAGGUUCAAAUUAUGUACUGACAGAAUAGCCAAGAGGGCUGAUUUUGAUUAGACGGUACGGAGAUCUCUGCCACCACACUUUAAAAAAAAAUGUUAGAAUAUUUUUAGCUUUUGGAUUUAUUUUUCAUUAUUUUGUAUACAUUUGAAUUUUUCGCAAAUAAGAAUUAAUUAUAUUUCGGGAUAAGUCGAGACAUUGUAUGUUAUCUAGCGUUUAUUUGUUGAUCUAAUUUACCAACCAGUAGUUCCCAUUUUGAUCCUCUCUGGUCAGCAAUGUCUAAUAAAUAAAAUAAAUGACCUCAAGAUGUACGUUUCUUGACACAUUUAGUGGUUAGAUGAAGUAUAUUUUCUGCUGGUUUUCAAAUUCUUCAUAGACUUAGCGUCUAUAACAACAACAGGAACGACAUUCCGUUAUACAACUGUAUAAAAGUUUUGAUUUUUGUUUCAGCCCCGAAGAGAGCGCCGAGAUCUUAUGAUGAAGUAGAAUUACCAGAUGACGGCAAAGUGGAGGUGGUCAAAUAAUGUGUUACACCAGGAAAAUAAUGUCGAGUUCAUUCCAAAUUCACACAGUCAAAAAUGAGUAAAAGACCUUGAUUGUAUCCAUUGUCAUCUGUCUCUAUAACAAUUAGUAAACUACACCUUAAUGUCUGAUAAUAUGCAUUAUAUAAAACUAAAUAAAUAUAACAUGUUUUCUCUCAGGGUGGUCCUUUUACACGUUUUUGACUGUAGAUGAUUACCAGUUUGAAGAUGAAAAUAUGAGCCGCGUCAUGACAAAAACCAACAUAAUAGGUUUCCGACCAGCAGCGCAUCCGCGCAGUCUGAUCAGGAUCCAUGCUGUUACAAGUAGAGAAACUGAUAAAUGAACAACAUGGAUCCUGAUCAGACUGCACGGAUGCGCAGGCUGGUCUGGAUCCAUGCUGGUCGCAAACCCAUUAUGUUGGUUUUGUCGUGACGCGGCUCAAAUAUGUUUUCGUCGUUUAACUAUAUAGUCUAUAUAUGUUGAUGCAUUGUAAUUGUUCAACUGUUUUGGUAUUCAGAUAAUAUCAUUCUUAAUAACAUAUGAAAAAUACACAAUAAUGCAUAUAUAAAAACUUAUUACAAAUAUUUUGUAUGUUUUCUGUAUAUGAGGCAAGCAUUCAUAUGGAACAAAAUACAAAAUUAAUGAUGUAUACUGUAAGGCAAUAUGUUAUAAAAUAAAAUGUUUGGAAAUAAAACAAACUAGAGUAAUAAUAAUUUAUUUAUAUAUAUUAUAACAUGUGUAAAUUUGAAUAUUUUUAUUGCAAUUUCUUGUUUCUAAUGAAUAUUUUUACCGAUACAUUUGUAUAAUUUUCUUUCCCUAUUCUAAAUCUAUAGUUGCCCACUGAUAUCUUAAUGACAUUUAAUAUGUAAGAGGCAAAUAACAGUCUUGGUCAGACUGUGCGGGGUGUAGGACUGCUUGGAAAUAUAGAUACUUGUGUAAAGGUGGUAUGUGAUAGUUAUUUGCCGCUUGUGCUUAAAAUGUUUAUCAUUGUUAAAACAAUGGGACAGGAUACGUGACUGGAUUCGUUAACGUUGUUUAAAACGUCUCACAUUUCCGGUCAAGUAAUGCUAUUUUAUAAGUUAUCAACGGUAUAUAUACAAUGCGAUUGGUUAAUAAUACCAAUUGUUAUUGUAAUUUGUAUUAUUUGUAAUACAUGUAUAAUAUGAAAUUAUAAAGUUACUAGUUUUGUGCUCAUAAGGAAAAUAAAUGAGGAUUAAGUGAUCUUAAUUUUAAUUUUUACUGAUUUGAAGAGACCAUUUUGAAGAAAAAGUCAUCUUUGAAAUCUAGACAAAAUGUAUUUUACUUAUACAUAGUCAACCAAUGUCAUUUUCAAGUCCUUUGCCUACACAAGUCUUUGGAAAACAGUUUGUUACUAGAUCAGACGCCGGUUACCACAAAGUCACCUUUUGGUGAAAAAAAUUGAUAAAAUCAAAACAUUCAGCAGACGACAUCUUCAGCAAACGAAAAUUUUCCCAGCAUGCAAAUGGUUAAGUCAAACAUAGUAUAAUUUCCGAUCUUGGUCCUGGUGAACAUGGUGCCUAAUGUUAUAGUAUUAUCUUUAUUGUAAAUUGUUUUAUAAAUGUAACAUAAAGUAUUUGAAUUUGUAGUAUCGGCGUGUUUUACUUUCAUAAUUUUCUAGUAUGAAAGUGAACAUAAACUAUCGGAUAAGUGAGAACAAAUGAGCCGCGUCACGACAAAACCAACUUAAUGGGUUUGCGACCAGCAUGGAUCCAGACCAGCCUGCGCAUCCGCGCAGUCUGAUCAGGAUCCAUACUGUUCGCUAGCAGUUUCUCUACUUGUUAUACGGUUGGUAAGCGAACAGCAUGGAUCCUGAUCAGACUGCGCGGAUGCGCAGGCUGCUCUGGAUCCAUGCUGGUCGCAAACCCAUUAUGUUGGUUUUGUCGUGACGCGGCUCAAAUGUUAGUCCGUUUGAAGUUUGGUAUCGAAAUAUUUCUUAAUUCAUCUUUUCAGACAUACAAGUAAUGAUUUAGCUGUGUAUUAAUAUGUAUUGAUUUGUAUGUACAUGUAUUUGUAUUAAGAAAUGUCUUCUUUCAUACUGAAUUAUAUACAUGGGAAAUUAAACUAUAAUAGUUUAGGGUGCUAGGAUAUUUGUUUAUAAUGUUAAUGUUCUUAUAAUGCCAUUAUUCAUGGUAAUGUUAUCAACUAUAGAUAAAUGUAGACAAAUGGUUAUUAACGAAUAUGUAUAUAUAUAGUGUUAAAAUUUAUAUAUCUUAAAGGCGUAUGCUACGGUUACACAUAAACACAUAAAAAAAAAUAAAAAACUACAUAAUAUAAUUUAUUUAAUAUUUGUUUAAGUUUAAUCAUAUUUUAUUUUUGUUUUAUUUUGUUUCUAUACAAAACAGAUAUAUGCACAGAUAAGACAAAACGUUAUCAAAUAAAUUUACAGUACAUUGUACAUUGUAUUUAUAAGGAUGCUUUUAGUUGGAAAAAGCAAAAGGGUCGGACCACAAGUUUUAACAACAUUAGAGUGUUGGCCCUUCCAACAUUGUCGCAAUAAUAGUUAUAAGAUGUGCAUAAAUUAGGUUGCAUUUGAAAUACAAUAAAUGGUACAUACUAUAGCAAUCAAUAUGAUAUCAUUUGAAAAAAAGAAUUUGAUUAAAAAAAAGAAAAUCAAAUACAUUUAAACUGUAUGCUUGUAGAGGAAGAUAAUAGAGAAAUUUCAGGUCAAAUAUAUUUCGUUUUCCAGUUUUUUUUCACUUGAAUUUUAGAAUUUUGCUUCUUUCAAGGGCAGGUGAUUAGCAAGGCCUUAUUCUGUAGCUAACUUGCUUUCGAAUGAUUGUGCAAAAUUUCAAGAAUCGGUAAUAAGUAAAGUUUUUUUUUCUUUAUUAAUUAAAUUCUUUGCCAACUUCAUAAAAAAUCGUGAAUAUUCAGACUAUUAAUUUAAACUGAAUGAAGGGAAAACAAAUGGUUAAUUGAAUUCCAUGAAAUGUCGUAUUGCAACUAAGGAUAAAAUGAAAAACAUAAACCAGUAGAAAUAAAAAGAUUUGUAAAAUAUACGUGUAAAAUAUCUGCCCUUGAAAUGACUUGAUAAAACAAAAUUCAAGGGCACAUCACCCGAAAACGAAGCUGCUGACCUGUUUUCCGCUCACAAUGCUUCUGUUAUUAUAUUCUCAGAUCGUGCAAUGUUUAAACAAAUUCUAUUAUAAUUAUGUAAUAAUGUAGUAUUAUUAUAUUUCUAUAUGUAACUUUAGCAUACGCCUUUAAGUAAAUAUGUAAAAUAUGUUAAAUAACUUAUUGCAAAGGGGGAAGUUCAGCAUAUGCUUAUAAUUCUGACCUCAUAGUUAGGUAUUUUCCUUAUUUCUUCACAACAAAUAUUAUUUCAUUCUAUUUCGAAAAACACGGACUUUAAUUUGAAGUCCGUAGUUCAUCUUAGACAUUGAUAUGAAUCACAUCUCAAUGGUAAAGGUCAGUAUUUCAUUGAUCAAAAUGAUUAUAUAUAUUGUUGUCGCAUCUUUCACUAGAUUUAGAUGUUAGCUGAAAUAAUAUUUGAUAAUAAAUAAUACUUUAACAAUAUUGAAUGUAUACGCAUUUGAAAAAAAAAAAUGUCAUUUAGGUUUUGUAUAAUAGGUAGGUGAUCCUUAAGUAAAAGGCGAUUCUUAUGGCACCGCUUAACAGAUAUCCCGCCAAGGGGGGGGGGGGGGGGUAUAUAUGUAGUAUUCGAAUUGUUCGUUCCGUUUUUUCUGACCCACCGUAUCUCAUGACGUCUCUUUUUAUUGACUGAUAUUUUAAGACAUUCAAGCCUACAUAAACUUUGAGGAGUCAAUGUCAUUUUGACAUUUUCUCAUUAGUCUUCAUCUAUUGACGAUAUAUAUUAUUAAUGUCAUUGAAAGUGUCGAAGCUUUGUCAAGGCGGUGUCCGGGGCAAUCUAUUCACAGUUUAUUAUUUUUGAUAUGGUAGAAAAUUUAGCUAAUGUUAGUAUGUUUCUAUAGUUAGCAAGUUAUUUUUGAAUGUUAAUUUAGCAAAAUUUUGUAAUUAUAAACUUUGGAAGCUGAAUAAAUGUUGAAUUUAU
Long non-coding RNA from Ruditapes philippinarum (Manila clam), 5307 nucleotides. RefSeq lists it as uncharacterized. The record is from RefSeq and is a predicted model, not a curated record. NCBI's taxonomy places the organism in Eukaryota, Metazoa, Mollusca, Bivalvia, Venerida, Veneridae. The transcript has 2 exons.